UACGUAGGGGGCAAGCGUUGUCCGGAUUUAUUGGGCGUAAAGAGCGUGUAGGCGGCUUGACAAGUCUGCUGUGAAAACUCGAGGCUCAACCUCGAGCUGUCGGUGGAAACUGUCUGGCUAGAGUCCGGAAGAGGAGAGUGGAAUUCCUGGUGUAGCGGUGAAAUGCGCAGAUAUCAGGAAGAACACCUAUGGCGAAGGCAGCUCUCUGGGACGGUACUGACGCUGAGACGCGAAAGCGUGGGGAGCGAACAGG
This 253-nucleotide ribosomal RNA is filed under the name uncultured bacterium. Its description in RNAcentral is "partial 16S ribosomal RNA". It matches the Rfam family "Bacterial small subunit ribosomal RNA", at positions 524 to 776 of the family's 1533-position model. The record is from RNAcentral.